UGGAAUUUGAUGUUGUUCAAAUGUAUUCUACUAAUCAUAUUAUUAUAAUUCAGCUUAUGUGUGCCUUUACAAAAUUGACUCCUGUGCUGAAAAUAUGAGGGCUGUCUGUGUGUGUGUAAAAACUGCAAGGUCUUGGUUUCGGUUGAAUGUAGGACCGACCUUGCAGCUGCUGGUGAUAGCCAAAAUAAGAACAAACCUUGAAGGAGAAAGCACACAGACAAAAGAAAUAUAUGCUUUUGAUAUUGAUUCACUAAUAAUCAUUCAUUUCCAGAUUAUUACAUAUAGAAGUGUUUAGAUUUAUAAAAUAAAUGUUGUCAUGAAUAUUAAUGUAUUAAAAUAUAUAAAUGAUUAUGCCUUUGUGCCCAUGAAUAAUGUAGAAGAUUGCCCUGUAAUAAGACAUCGCCAUAUAAGGAUGAAAUGCUCUAGGGCACAAGGUGUUCUGUAUGUUUGUGUGUUAUAUACCCCCACAGGCUAAAGCAGGGUGUAGUAAUGGAGUCAGAUAAUGAGAUGAGAACCGCCUGUUAUGGGGAGGAGAGAUUUGAAGAAAGAACGACGUCACAUAUCAUAUAAAUAUUCAUGUAUUUCCGUAAGCUGGGUUGGUUGCUUGCCACAUGGGGCCUUGAAACAACCCAGCGCUGUAAAACUUUUUCAUAUCUGAUCAAUAAAUAGCUUAUUUUUUUAAUACCGUGUCUUUCCUCUAAUUAUGAACAUGCAAUGGACCCUUAAAGUCCAACAAUUGGUGACCCCGACGUUCUUUGGAGGGAAAAAAGGAGAGACUGAGCGGAAGAAGGGUUUCACAUUGAAGAAACCAGAGUAAGCGAGGAUUCCCUUUCAACACAAAAAGAGCGCUCUAUUAAAAUAAGGUAAGCAGAAGCCUGUUUUAUCGAAUUCUGCUAUUUGGAUAUACCAAAUUACUUGUGUUGAUAAGGAGAUCCGAACUGAAUUACAAAUUUACAUUUUUUAUAAAUUGAUCAGAGUGAAAAACUUUUUGAAAUUUUUGAAUUUUGUUAUUAAUUAAAAAGGUUGAGGAUUCCUUUAAUACAUUAGGUAUUAUAAAAUACCGACUCGGUUGUAGCCGUAAGGAGUGAAAGGCUCUUGGAUGAAAGGUCCAUAAAUACUGUUAAUGGCGGUGUAAGUUAACAGAAUUAAUUAAAAAGGUUGAGGAUUCCUUUAAUACAUUAGGUAUUAUAAAAUACCGACUCAGGUUAUAGCCUGUAGGGGGUGUACAGCAGCCCGUUGGAUGAGAGGUCCACGAAUACUGGAAAGAAGAAAUGACGUCUUAAUGUGAAUAGUAUUGUUGAUAUAUUGUUGUUAUUUUUGUGACAUUUCUGUGAAAGUUGUAUUGUGUUUGUAUUGCGGGUGAAACUCCUGAAAACUACUGGUGUAUAUAUCCUUCUGCUAGAAAAGAGUGACGUGUUGUGCUUUUUGAAGUUUUGAACGCUUGUAAAUUGUGUGAAAAUGGCUAAAUUUAAAAAAAUGUGAUGAGUAUGGUUGCCUAACAGUGUAUGUGCAAUGGCAAAAAGGCAUGUAGUUUGGAAAGGGACCAACUGUAAAAGACUCAGAAACAGAUUUGAGAAAGGGGACGAGAAUCGCUUUUGUUGCAGCUGAAGUCGAGACGAUUACAAAGACCAAAGGGGAAGUUGACAGUUGUGCUGUGAGCGAGCAAAAGGUAGAACAAGGAAGCACUGAGCCAGUACCCUCAGCCCCACCCAUGGCUCCUCCUCAAGUGAAGUCACUAUACCCCUCACUGCACACACCUCCUCCUUAUGAGGAAAAGUCUGUUUCGAUCUCAAAGCAACAGCCGAUGUUAACAGUAAACAGUGGUGAACUAGAUGUUGAAUUUGAUGAAAUAAAGGCCCUGAAAAGAAAAAUGGAAAGAUUAGAACAAACAAUUAUGACACAGGGAGAGAUAAUCACAACUCUAUUAAGAUUACAGAGAAAUGUAAAUGAUAACAACAUGGGAAAGAGAUCUUGUGUAUUACACAGACAGGGCCAUAAACAAAUCACACAAACAGAACUUGUAGAGGUAGAUAAGCUUAAGAAUGAGCUGUUAAAGCUACAGCUAGAACAGGCCAAGCAAGCUAACACAAAAAAGAAACAAAUGCCCCAGCAGGCCCAACCAACACCAGUAGCUAUGACAACUAGUGUCUCGGAUAACGUACAAUAUCCCAAUCAGCCCAUAGAUCCAUAUAAAGGCCCACCCUAUACAGGAAACCCGUGGGAGGGAUAUAACCAACAGAGAAGGGGAGGACCAAGGAGGAGUAGUAGACCAAAACGGGGAGGUUUUGGAGGUUUUGGCAGGAAUACAUGUUAUGUGUGUGGACAGGAAGGACAUUGGAGACGGCAUUGUCCCAACACUUGGUCACAGCCCCAAAAUUCUGGUGCUAGACCACUUAACGGAUCACCUGCGGGGGGAUGGGGUCCCCGAGGAGGUGGUGCCGGGCGUGGAGCCGAUGGCUAUGGCAGGGGGCCACCGAGAUCGCACAACCCAUCACAACCAGAUUUAAUGGCGCCUAUGCACCCAACAUGGGGCCAAAGGGAGUGAUGCGGAUGAAUGACGAGGCACACAGGAACCCACCAUGAAAAGAAUGGCUGGACCUCUCAUGGACCAUUAAGAGCCCUAGUGGAUAAUGGGCCUAGUCCACCGUAAAAAAAAAAAAAAAAAAAAAAAAAGUUUCAACAACGGUGGAGAUAAUGGGUUUCUGGUAAAAUUGAAAAGUGACUAUCAACAAAUCACUACCCUAUAAGGUAGCAAACCAGUCUAGUUUGCACGCAUUUCUGUAUUCCUCCAACACACCAGUUAAUAAUAGAUAGGGACCUAGAAAUUACUAUGACCUGUCAAUGUUGUAAUGUGCCCCCGGACGGACGGGGCACAAAUGAAUGGCUAAUUAAACUAUGGAGAGAUAGAGCCUUAUACCAGACCCAGGACCAGAGACUUGUGUUGUUAUUUAUUUAUUUAUUUUUUGGGCCUAAUAAACAACAAACAAUAGAUAACAAGGUAUGUACCAAUAUAUAAAAUGAUGUCUUAGAUAAAGUUUACCAAAAAAAACCCAGCCAGCCAAACCUGAAAUUAUGUCCAUGAGGGUGUAAACAUGACUGAUCUAAUCACUAAAUGAGCCAUAUGACUGCAUACCAUUGACGGAAAAAGCAAACAAAUUGAGAGAUGGUUUGUUCGCGGUACCACUGACAACUCCCCCACCGGUAAUCACGUUAUUUAUGGAUGGCUUUGUUUUAGAGCAUCAGAUGGUACGCUAAAGGCAGGGUUUGCUGUGGUUGACCAGGUUGAGGGUGAUUUUGUGACUAGAGUGAGUGGUAAAUUGGAGGGUAAGCAGUCAGCACAGACAGCUGAAAUGAUAGCUGUUAUCAAAGCCUUGCACUACACUGGUGAAGAGAGGGUGAUUAUUUAUAGUGACUAUGCAUAUGUGAUUGGUACAGUAUAUAUGGAACUGCCAUAUGGCAGAUAGGUGGGUUUGAAACCAGGAAAGGCCGGCCUAUAAUAAAUAAAUGCUAGCGAAGCCUGACAUAUAAUACAGGCUGUGAAGGUACCUAAUGAAGUGGUUGUUGUCAACUGCCUAAUAAAUCACUUAUAUCCCCAACCAUGGUUUCCCAAGACAAAGUUAGAUCUGACAAACUGACAAACACGCACUGGAAUUGACAUAUAGUUUCGGGGCUGCUCAUCGCCCCAAUGACAGAGCAAAGCUGAAAUAAUGAACCUGACUUUGACAUUAAAACUUGACUUGACAACAUCUGUGCACAGACAAAAAUAACAUGGCUUGACGCAUUGCCAAUUGCAUUAAUGUCUAUUCGCUCUUCUGUUAACAGGAUUUCUGGUUUCACAUCCUUUGAAUUGCUUACAGGUCGACAGUUUCCAGGCCCACGAAACGCCUUGGUGUAGGAUCCAAUCCUGCCACUAACUGAUGCUGUUUAUCUUUACAAACUAACUGCUAUGAUUAAAAAAUUUUCCUGCCAGGCUAAACGACACCGGGACAACGACCAAGUUGUUACAAAUGAUGAUUGAGUGAAAGUGAAGGUGUUCAGACGGUGCUGGGCCGAACCAAGACGGUCCAGGCCACCGAGAGUAAAAGCAAGAACCUAACAUUGUGUUCAACUACAGGUCAAAGGCGACACCUGGUUCCAUCUCUCUUCUUGUGUUAAAUGUGAUUAUCCCAGCAGGUUUCUAACAGAUAAAGGUGUGGACCUGAGGACUCAGGUCCAAGAGAGGGAGAGUGUUGAAAGUGAAAGUGAAUUAGCUGGAAUACAGAGAGAACAAACAGGAAGUGAAACAUCAGUGGUAACACUCGCACAACACCAACAACGAAGUCAACAAACACUCUGUAAAAUUGUGCAUAAAAAAAGGUUACAUUUUUUCCAGCCCAGCAACAGAACCACAAAAGGUUGUAAGACAGAAUAAAAACACAGGUGAAUGUGCAGUUACCCAUGAGGACGACGGCAGAUUGAUUUUUCAUUUAAUAACAAAACAAAAUUGUACUGAUUUACCAACAUAUGAGAAUUUUACCAACAGCUGGGGGGUGUGGCCUGGAUAAAUUGGAUUUCCAUAAAGUGCUGGAAAUCCUGACAGAAGUGUUCAGGGACCUGAACAUCACAAUUACUGUUUAUUCAUUAUAACCUGGGUAGCUACAUACCAUAUUGACCUUCGAAUUUCUUAAGUUUCUUAUAUAAUCUUACAUUUCAAUGUUUCCUUUUGAAUUUAAUUUCUAAGUGUCUUAUACAAUGCUACAGUAUUAAUUUUACAUUUUAAUUUUCUUUUUCCUUUUUCAACUUACGAUUGUUAUUUGAGUAUUAGCCAAUAGGCAUAAGUGUAUUUUUUCCCACAGAGAUGAAGCUAUAUGGAAAUUGGAAGGUUCUGUGGGCCCUAGGGGUUAUAGCUGCAAUUAUAAUCACCAUAAUAUUUAGCAUAAACAAUGGAAAUAAUCUGAAAAUUGACAAAAGGUCCAAAACUACAUCACAAGAUUAGUGUGUAAAGAGAUAUGGGGGAAUUGAAUUAAAUUACACAAAAAAAAAUUCAACGACAUCAUACACCUUUGAUUUAUGAACAUCUAUAGUGGUCUCAAUUGGAGUAUUUGUGGCCAUACUGGUCACUUGUGGAUGUUGUUGUAUCCCCUGUCUCAGAUCCCUGUGUAACAGGCUGAUAGUGUCAGCAAUAGAGAAAAAAGAGAAUAAUCCGCCCCCAUAUAGCAUGCCCCUAUUAGGCCUACAGAACCUGGAUGAGGAGGACGAAGAGAAUGUGUGACCUCUUUCAGAGGUCAAGAGAGGGAAUUGUGGAAUUUGAUGUUGUUCAAAUGUAUUCUACUAAUCAUAUUAUUAUAAUUCAGCUUAUGUGUGCCUUUACAAAAUUGAUUCCUGUGCUGAAAAUAUGAGGGCUGUCUGUGUGUGUGUAAAAACUGCAAGGUCUUGGUUUCGGUUGAACGUAGGACCGACCUUGCAGCUGCUGGUGAUAGCCAAAAUAAGAACAAUCCUUGAAAGAGAAAGCACACAGACAAAAGAAAUACAUGCUUUUGAUAUUAAUUCACUAAUAAUCAUUCAUUUCCAGAUUAUUACAUAUAGAAGAGUUUAGAUUUAAAACAUUAAAUGUUGUCAUGAAUAUUAAUGUAUUAAAAUAUAUAAAUGAUUAUGCCUUUGUGCCCAUGAAUAAUGUAGAAGAUUGCCCUGUAAUAAGACAUUGCCAUAUAAGGAUGAAAUGCUCUAGGGCACAAGGUGUUCUGUAUGUUUGUGUGUUAUAUACCCCCACAGGCUAAAGCAGGGUGUAGUAAUGGAGUCAGAUAAUGAGAUGAGAACCGCCUGUUAUGGGGAGGAGAGAUUUGAAGAAAGAACGACGUCACAUAUCAUAUAAAUAUUCAUGUAUUUCCGUAAGCUGGGUUGGUUGCUUGCCACAUGGGGCCUUGAAACAACCCAGCGCUGUAAAACUUUUUCAUAUCUGAUCAAUAAAUAGCUUAUUUUUUUAA
Misgurnus anguillicaudatus (oriental weatherfish) is the source of this 5963-nucleotide non-coding RNA. The record is from RefSeq and is a predicted model, not a curated record. Lineage: Eukaryota; Metazoa; Chordata; Actinopteri; Cypriniformes; Cobitidae.